CUCUAUGGCCAUACCAGUCUGAAAGUGCCUGAUCUCGACAGAUCUCAGAAACCAUCUGGACUUGGACCUGGUUAGUCCAGGGAGACAAACUAGGAACCUCAGGUGCCGUAAGCU
Molecule: non-coding RNA, 114 nt
Organism: Pelobates cultripes (western spadefoot toad)
Lineage: Eukaryota; Metazoa; Chordata; Amphibia; Anura; Pelobatidae
Source: the annotation of a GenBank genome assembly